UUGUGGAGGAGGACGCCGAAGGUGGGGCUAAUGACUGGGGUGAAGUCGUAACAAGGUAGCCGUACCGGAAGGUGCGGCUGGAUCACCUCCUAACAGGGAGACAACAAAAUGUUUAAUAUUAUUAUUUUGUCACCUUAGGUCGAUCGGUAUCUCACAUUCUUAAUUUAUUAAGGAUUUCAUUUCCUAAGUUUUUCUAGGUCACACCCAUUAUUUUCCUGGGCCAUUAGCUCAGGUGGUUAGAGCGCACCCCUGAUAAGGGUGAGGUCCCUGGUUCAAGUCCAGGAUGGCCCAUAUCUCUAUGUUGGGGGUAUAGCUCAGUUGGUAGAGCGCCUGCUUUGCAAGCAGGAUGUCAGCGGUUCGAGUCCGCUUACCUCCACUGAUUACCACCUCUUCCAUAUUCUGUAGAAAGGGAAUUUUUUUGAGUCGUGACCAAAUUCUGAAAGAAUCUAGCUUCCUAAUGAAAUCAUUAAGAUGCUGGACUCAUUGAAUUAAUUUCAUUGUUUUCAGAGAACCUUGACAACUGCAUAGAUUUUUUUUAAAGACAAUAAGCAUCUUUAAUGAUGUAGAUUUAUUAUUUGUGCGAAUGCAUUAAUAACAAUUCUAUUAAGCUGAUGCUUCAAUUUUGAAGUUAUUGGUCAAGCUACAA
RNAcentral lists this unclassified non-coding RNA (646 nucleotides) under uncultured Prochlorococcus sp. Its description in RNAcentral is "partial 16S-23S ribosomal RNA intergenic spacer; may also contain 16S ribosomal RNA and 23S ribosomal RNA". The stretch from base 304 to 376 matches the Rfam family "tRNA". Lineage: Bacteria; Bacillati; Cyanobacteriota; Cyanophyceae; Synechococcales; Prochlorococcaceae. The record is from RNAcentral.